ACAGCAGUCGCCGCGGGAAUACCAGCACCUCGAGUGGUCAGGAGGUUUAUUGGGCCUAAAGCAUCCGUAGCCGGUUGCAUAAGUUUUCGGUUAAAUCUAUGCGCUUAACGUAUAGGCCGCCGAAAAUACUGUGCAGCUAGGGAGUGGGAGAGGUACACGGUACUCGAUAGGAAGGGGUAAAAUCCUUUGAUCUAUUGAUGACCACCUGUGGCGAAGGCGGUGUACCAGAACACGUUCGACGGUGAGGGAUGAAAGCUGGGGGAGCAAACCGGAUUAGAUACCCCUGUAGUCCCUGUCUCUUAUAC
This 305-nucleotide ribosomal RNA is filed under the name uncultured bacterium. RNAcentral describes it as "partial 16S ribosomal RNA". It matches the Rfam family "Archaeal small subunit ribosomal RNA", at positions 455 to 760 of the family's 1478-position model. The record is from RNAcentral.